Molecule: ribosomal RNA, 468 nt
Filed under: uncultured bacterium
Lineage: Bacteria
Description: partial 16S ribosomal RNA
Rfam family: Bacterial small subunit ribosomal RNA
Source: RNAcentral
GACGAACGCUGGCGGCGUGCUUAACACAUGCAAGUCGAACGGAAAGGCCCUGCUUUUGUGGGGUGCUCGAGUGGCGAACGGGUGAGUAACACGUGAGUAACCUGCCCUUGACUUUGGGAUAACUUCAGGAAACUGGGGCUACUACCGGAUAGGAGCUCCUGCUGCAUGGUGGGGGUUGGAAAGUUUCGGCGGUUGGGGAUGGACUCGCGGCUUAUCAGCUUGUUGGUGGGGUAGUGGCUUACCAAGGCUUUGACGGGUAGCCGGCCUGAGAGGGUGACCGGCCACAUUGGGACUGAGAGACGGACCAGACUCCUACGGGAGGCAGCAGUGGGGAAUAUUGCACAAUGGGCGGAAGCCUGAUGCAGCAACGCCGCGUGCGGGAUGACGGCCUUCGGGUUGUAAACCGCUUUCGCCUGUGACGAAGCGUGAGUGACGGUAAUGGGUAAAGAAGCACCGGCUAACUACGUG